RNAcentral lists this ribosomal RNA (217 nucleotides) under uncultured bacterium. Its description in RNAcentral is "partial 16S ribosomal RNA". It matches the Rfam family "Bacterial small subunit ribosomal RNA", at positions 524 to 741 of the family's 1533-position model. The record is from RNAcentral.
UACGUAGGGGGCAAGCGUUGUCCGGAUUUAUUGGGCGUAAAGAGCGUGUAGGCGGCCAUACAGGUCAGCUGUGAAACUCGAGGCUCAACCUCGAGACGUCGGUUGAAACCGUAUGGCUAGAGUCCGGAAGAGGAGAGUGGAAUUCCCGGUGUAGCGGUGAAAUGCGCAGAUAUCGGGAAGAACACCCGUGGCGAAGGCGGCUCUCUGGGACGGUACU